GGCGCUGGUGGCUCUUUGGUAGAGCGAGCACACCAUCUGCAGAGGCUGUGGUCCUCAAUGCGGUUGUCCUGGGUUCAAUUCUCAGUCCCAGGCCA
This is a non-coding RNA of Crenichthys baileyi (White River springfish), 95 nucleotides long. Lineage: Eukaryota; Metazoa; Chordata; Actinopteri; Cyprinodontiformes; Goodeidae. The record is from the annotation of a GenBank genome assembly.